UUACAAGGCGAAACCGCGAAUGGCUCAUUAAAUCAGUUAUGGUUCACUAGAUCGUACAGUUUACAUGGAUAACUGUGGUAAUUCUAGAGCUAAUACAUGCACCCAGUCCGUUCCCUCGUGGAGCGGAUGCAGUUAUUUGCCCAAAACCAAUCCGGCCUUCGGGUCGGUCAAUUGGUGACUCUGAAUAACCGAAGCGGAGCGCAUGGUCUCGUACCGGCGCCAGAUCUUUCAAGUGUCUGACUUAUCAGCUUGUUGUUAGGUUAUGUUCCUAACAAGGCAUCAACGGGUAACGGAGUGUCAGGGCCCGACACCGGAGAGGGAGCCUGAGAAACGGCUACCACAUCCAAGGAAGGCAGCAGGCGCGCAAAUUACCCACUCCCGGCACGGGGAGGUAGUGACGAAAAAUAACGAUGCGAGAGCUUUAUGCUCCUCGUAAUCGGAAUGGGUACACUUUAAAUCCUUUAACGAGGAUCUAUUGGAGGGCAAGUCUGGUGCCAGCAGCCGCGGUAAUUCCAGCUCCAAUAGCGUAUAUUAAAGUUGCUGCGGUUAAAAAGCUCGUAGUUGGAUCUGGGUAGUCGAUGGACGGUGCGCUUUACGGCGUCUACUGUUCGUUCGGCACCACAUGCCGGCCAUGUCUUGCAUGCUCUUCACUGAGUGUGCUUGGCGACCGGAACGUUUACUUUGAAAAAAUUAGAGUGCUCAAAGCAGGCGUUAAGCCUUGCAUAAUGGUGCAUGGAAUAAUAGAAUAGGACCUCGGUUCUAUUUUGUUGGUUUUCGGAACUCGAGGUAAUGAUUAAUAGGAACAGACGGGGGCAUU
RNAcentral lists this ribosomal RNA (817 nucleotides) under Acutuncus sp. 1 KZ-2020. RNAcentral describes it as "SSU rRNA". It matches the Rfam family "Eukaryotic small subunit ribosomal RNA", at positions 74 to 892 of the family's 1831-position model. Lineage: Eukaryota; Metazoa; Tardigrada; Eutardigrada; Parachela; Hypsibiidae. The record is from RNAcentral.